RNAcentral lists this transfer RNA (29 nucleotides) under Kikihia sp. 'acoustica'. RNAcentral's name for it is "partial tRNA-Phe". Lineage: Eukaryota; Metazoa; Arthropoda; Insecta; Hemiptera; Cicadidae. The record is from RNAcentral.
GAUAUUAAGGUAACUUUUGUUUUUAAAUA